Non-coding RNA from Pelodiscus sinensis (Chinese soft-shelled turtle), 537 nucleotides. The record is from RefSeq and is a predicted model, not a curated record. NCBI's taxonomy places the organism in Eukaryota, Metazoa, Chordata, Testudines, Trionychidae.
GCUUGGCCAUCACCAGGCCAGACUCCUAGUGGAGGGCAAGUGGCAGAUGUUCUCCACCGCAGGACCGGACACAGGUUGGCACUGAAGAUGCUGCCCCAGGAGAGGUGGGAGAGCCCCACGGCCAGGUGCCCACAGGUGGGUGCUUGGCACGAGUCAGCAUCAGGAGGGGGGUCCACCUCCCUCCCCCCGUGGGAUCCCCAAAUCCCAAGAGCACCUCCUGGGGAGAGCUGGAGCCCUAGGCGGCUCGUACCCCCAUUAAAUUACACCCGCUCAAGCCCCUGGAGGGCCUUUGCCCCGUCUCCGGCAGCGGGACUCGAACCUACGUCCCGCACACAAACAAACUCGGGUGGGCUCGCGCGCUGCCUCCCCCGCCCGCGGUCAGAGGGCUGUAACGACCGGCCGCGAGCCCCUCCACUUAUGAGGUCACAGAGGCCUUUAGCCAACCGCAGCGUACCCCUGCGGCUGUGAUUUGCAUAUCCGCGUCCGGAGGCCAAUCGCUCGGAAAAGGGAGCUGCGAAACCGGCUCCCACCCCAACC